AGAUUCAAAAAGAGGUCUGGGCAAUGUAGGAAGCGAUGAUUCACAUCCUUUAGAAGGUGCAGACGACUGGAAGUCGAGGGCUUAGGGUUUAGACACAGAGAGAGAGAGAAAGAGUCGAUCUGGUUUUCGUUUACGUGAAGAUGAAGGAGAGGAAGGGAGAAGAAGGGCAAAGGACGAGGAAAGAG
Long non-coding RNA from Rhodamnia argentea, 185 nucleotides. RefSeq lists it as uncharacterized. The record is from RefSeq and is a predicted model, not a curated record. The transcript is spliced from 3 exons. NCBI's taxonomy places the organism in Eukaryota, Viridiplantae, Streptophyta, Magnoliopsida, Myrtales, Myrtaceae.